Molecule: long non-coding RNA, 1199 nt
Filed under: Monodelphis domestica (gray short-tailed opossum)
Lineage: Eukaryota; Metazoa; Chordata; Mammalia; Didelphimorphia; Didelphidae
Description: lncRNA (ENSMODG00000046840.1)
Source: RNAcentral
UCCAAAUUGUCCUCCAGAAUGGUUAGAUUAAUUCACAAUUCCAUCAACAAUGCAUUAGUGUCCAGGGAGGCAAAUUUGUAACCAAAACACCCAAAUAUGAAUCAUUUGUAUCUUAAUCAGAUAUGGAGAAAAACCACUCACAUUCUAAGAACAACUAAAGAAAUCAAAGUAACAAAUGAAAAACAAAGAAACAAAACACCAAAAUACUUUGUCCUGGUUCUCCAUUCAGAUGUGUCAGAGACUCACCUGCUUUGGACAUUGAUUUCUUUUCUUGUUUUCUAAUUUUGUCACUGAUGUGUCUGCUCCCCUAUUCUGACCAUUUCACUUUGCAUAAUUUCAUAAGUAUCUUUUCAUAUUUUCCUGUAAUAAUAAUAGCUAAUAUUAUAUUGCAUUUAAGGUUUUCGAAGAACUUCACAUAAAUUAUCUCAUUUAGUCCCACAACAACCCUGUGAAGGAGGUGCUGUUAUUGUCCCCAUUUUGUGGAUAAGAUAACUGAGACUGAGAGACAUUAAGAUUAACUUGCCCAGGACUGAGGUAGUAUUUGAACUCAGGCCUUCCCAGUUCCAAGUCCAGCAUUUUAUUCACUCUGCUACCCAGGUGCCUCUAAUCUUCAUCUAAAAUGGAAUUUUAAAAUAAUCUGUAAUUGUCCAGUUUGUGGCCUUGGAAAUGUAAAUGCAUGAAGGCUGACCUGAGUACAGCUACAGGGAGUAAUGAGAAGAGAACUGGAGUCAGGAGGUUUAGGUUUGACACACUCCCUGUGGAACUUUGGCUUCAUCAUACCCAGAAGCCUGCGGGUGUUCUCCCCCUGGGAACCAACCAUCUGGCUUUCUCUCCAUCCCGGUGAGUUAAGUGGUGCAAAUAUCUUACAGAAGAUGAAGAAAGAAAGAAAGAGUCUCAAAGAAGCAAAUGACAUACUACUCAGAGACCCUAGAGCUGGGUCUCAAACCCGUCUUUUCCAGCUUGAAAUCUAAAGUAAAAACACUAGGCUUAUGAACCAGCCCAAGUGAGAAACAUCUAAAGAGAGAAGCUCAUUUCCUGAGGGUGAGGUAUUUGCCCUCGUGGAAGAGGAAAAAGUCUUCUUGGGAAAACUAAUAAUAGACAUGUAGCCCUCUGCAAAAUCCAGUGGGGCCUCAUUUUACACCAACUCAACAGACUUGAAUUCUGGUAUAUGCAAAUGGAAAUAAAAAUGAUAAUAGCAG